RNAcentral lists this long non-coding RNA (9140 nucleotides) under Nicotiana tabacum (common tobacco). RNAcentral describes it as "long non-coding RNA (NTAB_LNC005115)". The record is from RNAcentral. Lineage: Eukaryota; Viridiplantae; Streptophyta; Magnoliopsida; Solanales; Solanaceae.
AAAGGGGCUGCCUGUUCCCUAUUGUAAUUGGGCACAACAUUUGCAGCGGCCCCGUUCCCAGUCCGUUAACCCACCUGGUCCAGACUUUCCCCAAUACCAAACAACCCCGUUUUGUCCCGGAUUAAUCCCCACCCUUCAUCUCACUUGAUCCAGUGAUAGAGAACUAAUCUUGUGUUUCCCUUGUAACUGUCCGAAACGACCACCCCAACCCCCAUAACCCUUCUCAGAUCAUCCCCCUUUCCCUUCUCUCACCCUCCGCCACACGCCAUCGCCGGAAUUCGCCCUCGGCAGCGGCCAACCUCCAACUAGCCCCAAAUUACCCCCAGAUAUUCCUUGCUUUCUCCACAUGACCAUCCCACAUUUAGCUUCUUCCAAAACCUCAAUGAAACCCUCGAAUUGUAGAUCUAGGAACUGAACCCUAGCCGCCACUCGGUUCUUCUUCAUUUCCUCGAUCGAUCUGUCCUCUUUACGGUUGAGACUUACAUCAGUAGAAAGCUGUUGAUGAGAACUAUCCAUUGAUGUAAGAUUCACUCCGUUUCUCGGAGGUCGGAUAUUGGUCAACCAGCCGUUGACCGGCCAGAACUUUUUCUGAGGCUACCUCUUUUGCUUCAUCUCGAGAUCAAAUGGGUAUAACUCAUUCCCUUUCUUCUUUUCUUAUUUCAUUUUUGUGUGUAUUUGUUCUGUUAAAUACAGUGGUGCCAAUCAUGUUUCAGAUUGAUUAAGUGUUAAUUGCAGGUAUUUUUAUUAGUUGAUAAAUGAGCAUAAAAAUUCAAUUACGCGUAUCUUGAUUACUUUGUUUAGCAUGAACUCUUGUUUGAUUAAAAUUGACUUGUCUAUUUGAUUCGUCGUUCAUUUUUCUUUCUGUUUUCGUUUUGUUUAUUUGAGCCUGUUUUUUUUGGGGAUUUGGAUAAAAAGAAAUCUAAAAAGGAAAAGUAAUAAGAACCGGGGGCAAAAAGUGUAAUUAUAGAAGUGGUGUCUUCUAUGCUAAGUUUGGUGUUGUUCCACUGCUGAUUUGUAUAUUAUGACUGUUAAAUAAGAAUUUAAUUAAAAAAAUGCAACCGAAUAUAAAGAAAUAAACUCACAUAGAAAUCAAUGUGUUAUUAUAUAGUAUAUAUACAUAUUUUAAAAAAAUUAUCGAGCUAAACAGUGUAAUUUUCGACGAAGGGGUGUCGGUACACCUCUUGGGUGCAUGUGGUUCCGCCACUGGGUGUGUAGUAAUGGGUGAUAAGAGGAGGCUGUUAUUGUCUUGUGUGGGUGUGACUUACCGAUUUAAUCAUUAAUUGGCCAGGUUGUUAAAUUUGAAGCCAAAAAGUGGGAUUAAACACCCUGAUGACGGGCAGGCUUGAAUUAAGAGCUGGGCAUCUUCUGUUUAUGUUUGGAUAUUGUUAUAAAUAAAAUGUAAUUAUAGUAAAACUACUCAUUCCUUGUUGAUUUCGUUAAGGAUUGUAAUUAAGAGGCUUAGUUGUAAAUUCUAGGAUUUUAGUAAAUUCAAAUGCAAGCUUUGGAGAUGAUUGCUUAUUCGCAGUUAGUUUUCUGAUAGCAUGAAGAUCUGGAUAAGGAUAGAAACUCAUUCUAAUCACAAUAUUCGAGUCAUUAUUAUGAUUGUUAAAUUUUGGCUAUUUUGCCAUUCGAAUGCAUAUAUAAACACAAUCACGAUUCUCUUCUGUUGGUAAUUAACGCCAAUUCCUGUUUGCGUAGAACUAGAAAUGAAUCUGGCAAAAGUCAGUAGUGGCUAGUAUCUAUAAUUAUUGGCCAUAAUCGUAACUGUAAUGGUGGCCUUACUUAGGGCCUGACUUUGGGCCUAAAAUUCAAAGGUUACAGAACCCAACACUCGUCCAUCACGUCCAACACUCGUUCAAACUCUCCCAUGUAAUCUCAAAUUUUAGGAAAGCAAAUAAUUCAUGAACAUCCUAAGUUUGCUUUAGGCACAUUUUUAAUCUACUAUUGUGAUUAUGUACAUGUUCAUGUGACAUAAUUAUGAUCCCAAAAAUAAGUCAAGGUACGCUUGACUUUGGACAAACAAUCUUAAUAAAUAAUUAAGUAUUAUUAAUUGUGUACACGUACGCGUGAAAUGACUUUGACAUGCCAAAUAAAAUGGAUUCUCACACACGUGAUCUGUUUUCAAGUUUAAUUCCAUAAUUUAAUAAUCAAGCAAAUUAAAAGAGGUAAAAGGUAAAAAUGCAACUAGGUUUAAAACACGUAAUAAUCGGAUAAUUAAGCCAAGUUAUGAUUGUAAAGUGAUUGCGCUAAAAUUACGGAAUCCGGGAAUGCCUAGCAUUUUCUUUCGAGUUAACAAAAUUUCUUACUCGUUCCUCACAAGGUAGGGGUAAGAUUUGCGUACACACUAUCCUCCCCAAACCCCACAGUGUGAGAUAAUACUGGGUAUGUUGUUAUUGGUGACUUGGGACACCGUAAAUAAUUAUUCCAACUGGCGACUCUAUAAAAAUAAAUUAAAUUAAUCUCAUUUUAAUAAUGCCACUUAAGAGACAAGGUGGGCUGCUCUGAUGGCAAGCACCCUCCACUUCCAACCAAGAGGUUGUGAGUUCGAGUCACCCCAAGAGCAAAUGUGGGUAGUUCUUGGAGGGAAGGAUGCCGAGGGUCUAUUGGAAACAACCUCCCUACCCUAGGGUAGGGGUAAGGUCUACGUACACACUACCCUCCCCAGACCCCACUAGUGGGAUUAUACUGGGUUGUUGUUGUUGUUGUUGUUGUUGUUUAAUAAUGCCACUUAAAUUGAAAAAACUCAUUUCCUUGUAAAAAGAAAGUGUGACAGAUUUGGCGACUCUGUUGGGGAUCGAACCCCAGAAUCUCUAGUUCAGGGUUCAGAAUUCAAGCUUGUAAUGUGAUUAUACUUGGCUUUAUUGAUUGUAUGAUAUUGUUGUGUUUGUGAGUCUAAUGUGUUAAUUGCCGCUCAAAUUAACGCUUUGAUAUUAUUUGAACUGUAUAAACUGUCUACUUAAGCAUCCAUUCCGAGCCUUCUGAAUUUAUGGUGUACACGUGCGCGUGACCCACUUUUCUGUUAGAGGUCAUACCAAUUAAAACAGGACUAGUUCAGUAACUAGGUUGGAUAUACUUUUGUGCUCUCGGUACGCUGCUCCCACCUAGGCUCAAGUUGUCCGCUUGGGUAAGCCGGGUCUAAAACACAUCCCUAGGAUUUCAACCUAGAAUAACAUAGCCUCAUGCCAGUUCCCUAGUAGAAACGUUUGUUUGCAUCAUGUGCAUUUGACUUUGGAGACUCAACACAAGGGUUGGGUACCCAAAAUUACAAGACUAUCUUGAUGCAUUUUACGUGCUACUAGUGCAUUUUAUUUGAUCUGAUUUGCAUGUUGAUCGAUUUUUAGAGCAUGGAUAGAAAAGUUGAAAAAAGCAAGAAUGAGAGGUAGGAGAGAAAAUUCAUCCCGUUUCUAAAAAUCCCAAUAUUUGAAAAAUUCUGAAACUCUACCGAAUUUGUGAAAAAAGAAAAGAAAGGUCAUUUCAAUAUGAGCUAAAAUUUUCAAGUGUCAUGUUUCCCAUGUUUUGUCAAAACUUACGAACUACGUGGGUGUGAUUCUCACCGGUUUGGGUUCGACCCCAUUUUUUUGCAAAAAUAACCAAAAACAAAUAAAAUACGUGUCCAGUUUUUUUGUAAAAUCAAAUAAGCCGACUUAACUUUGGUUAAUCCCGAGCCAUUUUUGUCGUAUUAGCCUUAGAACAUCUUCAAAUUGUUAAAGGGAUGUUCUCGCAAAAAACGGACGUGUCUGUUAAUUGGGUGUCACUUUUACUAUAAUGUCCUCCCCUGGCCCCUAAAACUUUCCUUGGAAGUACGAAGGGGCCAUAGUUGCAAAAUAGCCACCCUUUCCUUGGCCACAAUUGCAAAAAUAGCCAACAUCUCUUUGACUUUUCUUAAAAAUUGGGUUAUUUGCAAAAGAUUAUUUUGCAAAAAGAGUGUAUUGGUUUUGUCUUUUGAAACUAGUAUCAAUCCUAACCUUAACCGAAACUAGUAUCAAUCCUAACCUUAACCACCCACAGGUAUAAUAUGAGCACUGUCCAGAACACACCGUUGACGGUUGUAGACGAGGCUCCACUCCAGCUUCAGAUGUGGUGGUAUGACUUGGGGCAAGACGGGUAAAACUAGGUCACCAAGCACAUGGGAGCACUCACGGACAUUAUGAAAGUUAAACCACAAGAUGAUUUGAUCGAGGCACUAGUGAUCUUUUGGGAUCCCGUUCACAAUGUAUUUCGCUUCUCUAAUUUUGAGCUCACUCCCACCUUAGAAGAGAUAGCUGGAUACAUCGGGUUUGGCAUGGAUUUGAGAAAUCAAAAGCUCAUAUUCCCGAGGUCUCUCUCUGUACAUCAGUUCUUUGAUAAUCUGAAUAUCGGUAAGCAAAUUCAAAAGACCAACAUAGUCGAAUGGUGCUAUUCUUUCUACUUCCUGUACUCCAGGUUCAGACAACCAAAUGGAUUUGAAAUAAAUGAAAAGGGCCUUAACAACAAGCAGAACAAGGACACAUGGCAGAUUCACCGUCGCUUCACCUUCAUAGUGAUAUUUUUGGGAAUUAUGGUCUUCCCAAAUGCGGAGCGGACAAUUGAUACCCGUAUAUCCAAGGGUUGUACAUGUCCUCACUACCAAAGAACAUCACACUCUUGCCCCGAUCAUUCUAUCAGACAUCUAUCAGGCAUUGACUUUAUGUUAGUCCGGGGCAAAAUUCUUCAAAGGGUGCAAUGUUUAAUUGCAAAUGUGGUUGAUUGAGCAUCUUCGGCAUCACCCCAAGUUCAUGAGCUAUGGUCCAAGCAAGGAUAAUUUCAUUGAUAGUUACAAAGAAAGAGUAAGAGAUUACAACUCGCCAAAAGGGGUUAAAGCCUGGAUAUGCCUCCUAAGAUGUUUAAACGCAAGUCAAAUUGAGUGAACUUUGGGAUUGCUCCCGGUAAGAGAGGUGAUACACAUAUCAGCCCUGAAAAGGUAUUUGUUGCUAGUGGGUUUGAGAGGUGUCCAUCCCUAUGCACCACAAAGAGUUCUGAGACAGCUAGGAAGGUACCAAGUAGUGCCCGAGGAUUAAGAUUUGAGUGUGCAAGUGAUUGAGCUACACCUAGAAGCCCCACUCCCCAAGGCUUUAAUUUCGCAAAUUUGGGAUGGUUGUCGCUUCUCGAAAGAUGAUUCUCAGAUGCCGGAUCCUACGAGGGGUGAGGUAGAUCUGGGUUAUGCUAUGUGAUUUGGGAAGAGGUGCUGCGUAGAUGAUGAACCCGACCCCAAGCCCUAGCCCAAAAGUCCCGCAGAAAGACCGCAUGUUCAAGCCUUUGAUGAUAAGAUCCAAGAACGGUUGGCCUGGGGAGAAAAGGAAAAGGGAUACCAAACAACUAUCCAUGCUUUAGAAGAAAAGCUGAGAAACCUCAAUUUUGAGAAAUACUUACAAGCACAAGAAGCUGAAUAUGAAAAGAAGAGUCUGAUCCACGAAAAUAAAAUCCUUCGUGCUCAACUUCAACAGAUGAAGAAAGCCUCUGAAGUACCGGUUAGAAACUAGAAAGGCCAAAGAACUAUUGCCAGUUUGCUAGAAAAAAAUGCAAGAUUAUGAUGCCACUCUUGAAAAUACUGAAAAGGCAUUGGGAAAAGCCAAAGAAAAGAUUGGCCAACUAAAAUAAGAGAUAAAUAACCGUGUGAGGUUGUCACAUCAGACGAAGCAAUAUCACGACGAAGUGGUCUUCGCCCUUAGGAAAAUAUUGGGUGCCCGAGAAGAGGGUUUGGGUCGGCAGUCCAAGGAAUUUGAAGUAGAAAGGGAACAUUGCUAUGUGUUGCUCCACAAGCUGGAAUGUGAUGUAGUAAACCUGCAAAACCAGAACAAUAAGAUCGGGCGAGUAGUGGAAGUCUAAGAACAACAGAUUAUACGGUUGCUCCUGGAACGGAAUGCUACUACUUUACUUUGGUGAUAACUUUCGCUGACAAGGUCAUGGACGAUCUAGAAUUUCUUCACGUCAAGCUGGCAAACAGAUGAUUCCUUGGGCCCCAAUUGGAGUGUUUUUCGGAAGUCUUGAGUCAUUUCCCAUUGUACUAGUUUUCUUUAUCGAGUCUGUAUGUUUUGUUUUCUUAAUCGAGUCUGAAUGUUUUGUUUUCACAUCGAGUCUGUUGUUUUUUUUGAGUCUAUAUGUCCUUUCUGGAGUUAGUGUUUGAUGUAAUUUCGAAUCUUUGUAACGAAAACCCAAAAUUUCUUUGUUUUAUUUUUACAUUACUUUCCUGAACUACAUAAUAGUCAGAUUCAUGCGGCGUCAUGAUACGUAGGUAAUACUCAUCGGAUGUGAUCAUAGCCAUAAAGAAUUUGAGUUAGAAUAAAAUAAACAAAAGAGAAAAAUAAAAAGCGACAAAACAAAUUAGAAAAACAAAGAGUGACCAAACGAGGGAAAAAAAAUCAAGAGUGAAGAAAUCGGUAGGACCAGGAGAGAGCGUUAAAACCUAAAGAGAGCAGAAAAGAGAGCCAAGAUGGAACAUGCGACCGUUCAAACACAUGGUAGAAAUGUCUAACUAUUUAAGUGCAUUUCAUCCCAACAUGCGAUUUCCUAUGCGUUAAAUGCCUCAAACUAACAAGGUUGUUGUGUGUGCCAAUUAGUUAGAUUCUAUUUAGGUGGUUGGUUUUGUUGGUAAUAUGGUUUCCUAUCCAUACUUCACCGUAUCAAAAGGAAAGGUCCCUAUGGCUUUCGAAAGUAGUCUACCAAUUAUCAACCCCGAAGAUAGCCCAACACUGGCUAUUCCAUAGCUAGAGUCAGCUAUUGCUGAAGAAAUCAGAAUGCUACGCCUCCGCAUGCUAGAGAUGUGGGACGCAUGGUCUAACGGGAGGGAAGCACUAAGUGUAAUCCCUGGGUUUCCCGAGUUGAUACCGAGAUCAGGUAGGGCUUCUUAUGCCCCUAUGUCCAACCUGUUUAUCCCAUGCGGGUACCUCCCAAUGUCGACUAAUGGUCCCGUCAUGCCUUAUGUGGUUCAAGGGCAUUGCCAGUAAUGUUCUCUGCAACAUCUGUCUUUACAUGGCGCAACGAACUGUAUCCAGGACGUAUAUUGAGCCUCCAAUUUUUACAUUCCAGGGUCCACAGUUUCAAUCAGACAUGACCUAUGUCACCCCAGACUCAUACACACGACCUCCACAGUAUGAGUUCCAGACCGAACAAGAAAGAAUGGCCAAGAAUCCCGAGCAAGAAGAAAUGGCUCGAUAAAUGAAAAGCUUGGAGUAGAGUUUAAAGAAUAUGUAGGGCUUGAGCGGCCAAAAUAGUGUUUCUUACUCUGAUUUGUGCAUGUUUGUUAGCUGGGCUAGUGCAGGUUUUGUUCAUCACGAUCACGUAGAAGGGGUCGCGAUCGCGGAGCUGGAUCAGGUGGUUCUUCGCGUUCGCAUGGGCAGAGUCGUGAACACAGUGGGUUGUGGAGGCAGGCCUAUUUGGGAGAGCUGUGCUAUGCGAUCGCAGAAGUACUCACGCGAUCGCGUAGGAGGUAAGUCACUUAGUAUAAGUUAGCCCUUCAUGUUGUUUGGUCCGCGUUCGCGGAGGUUUGGGCAGGCUAUGCUUCGCGAUUGCGAGAAGGAUCUCGUGUUCGCAUAGAGCAUUUCCCUGGGCGAGGCUGGUUGGCCUCCCCGAUUGCGAGGUGUUUUCGCAUUCGCGAGGUGUUUUUCGCGAUCGCGAAGAAAGGUCGUCUGGGCAGAGUUGUUUUAAGACGGGACUUAGCUCUCAUUUCUCUCAUUUUCACUUGGUGGGGCGAUAUUUGGAGCUCUUGAAGACGGGAUUUUCAUCAUUUAUUAUGAGGUAAGUUAUUCCCACUUAUUGUGAGUUAAAUACUUGGAUUAUAUAUAGAGUUUUACAUGCAAUUUGAUACAAAUUGUUGGAUUUUUGAAGAAAACCUUGAAAUCAUAUUUUUGGAUUUUGACCACGAAAUGGGACAUGGAAUUUGGAAUAAAUUAUAUAUUUGAGUUCGUGGCAUUAUGGGUAAAGUUUAUCUUUGAUAAUUUUCGGAAUCCGGGUAUGUUGGCCUGAGGGUUGAGUUUGUUGAGUUUUUGAGCGGAGUUAGGAAUUAUUACAAAUUGAUUAAUUAUGUGUGUUGGAAUAUAUUUUUAUUGGUUUGUGUGUUGUUUGACUAGUUUCGAAUUGAUGUGCAUCGGUUUGAUGUGUUAGAGAGGCGUUGGAGUUAGUUAUGGAAUUUCGGAGCGAGGUAAGUCUUAUGUCUAAUCAUGUGGGGGGGAACUGCCCCAUAGGUGUGUAUUUGUUAUAUGCUACUUGUUGUGGGGGCCAUGUACGCAUGAGAUGACGAGAGUCCAUACGUGGCUAAUAGCAUGCUUAUGUCCGGGUAGACUUAGGACUUUAUCAUGCAAUAUUUGUAUUAUCUGAAAUCACCUUGUUAGUUUAAUUACCUAAGAUAAAUGAAAUGUGAUUAGAGAUCAUGUUUGAUCGAAUCUCAUUACCUUGAGUUGUUGGCAAGAUGUUCGAAAAUUGCUAAAAGUCAUGAUCACUNNNNNNNNNNNNNNNNNNNNNNNNNCGGGACGUACGACCUCGGCAGUGUAUGUGCACAACUAUAUGGAUCGGGCCGAACGACCUCGACAUAAUUUAUGCGUAAAAUCGUUAGGAGUCCAAAUAUCCACGAGAUUACCCUCUUAAUUAAACUUGAAAAUUUCAUAAUAUUUUCUUUUUGACCUGAGAUCAGAUAUCAAUUUGAGGGUUCUCAUUUGUUAAGAUAGCACGUGGUACUUGGGGACAUCUAAACUAAUAAUAAUUGUUAACAGAUGUCAUUAUCUACCUUUCUUUAUUCUGUUGAUCCUAUUGUAUUUCAUGUCUACAUAUGAUUUUUGCAUUUUAUUUAUUAGACCACUAGUAAGUGUCGAAAGUGUCGAUGUCGACCCCUCUUCACUACUUCUCUAGGGUUAGGCUAGGUACUUGCUGGGUACGCGUUGAUUUACGUACUCAUGCUACACUUCUGUACUAAAUGUGCAAGAUCUGACAGGUUGCUUUGAUGGUCAUCUUGGCGCGUCGGCGCAACUGUUGAGGGGAAUUUAUGGCGAGUUAUUUUUUAUGCUACGGACCGCAGCCCUCAGAGUCUCCAUCUUAUUUAUUUACUUUAUCCUGUUUAUUUUAUAUCUCAAACGAAUGUUGUAUUAUUAUUGUACUCCUUAGUAAAUGCUCAUGCACUUGUGACACCGGGU